RNAcentral lists this long non-coding RNA (4552 nucleotides) under Panax ginseng (ginseng). RNAcentral's name for it is "long non-coding RNA (PGIN_LNC003807)". Lineage: Eukaryota; Viridiplantae; Streptophyta; Magnoliopsida; Apiales; Araliaceae. The record is from RNAcentral.
UAAAACUAAAAGUAAUCUCUAUUUAUACCCCGAACAACUUCACGGCCGUCUCACAUUACUAGUUUAUACAGAGAGAUUGCUAAUAAGUUGCUUGUGAUGAGUUAAGUUGAAAUUGAAGAGGUAAACUGUUUUUCUAUCUUCAGAUUAAAUUCAUUAUUGUUUCUAUACAACUGCUCAUGUUUUAGCUUUCAUUUCCCUUUUCAAUUUCCAAUUUUGAUUAUUUCAUGAUUUUUUUUUUGAGAUUCUAUUUUUUCCCAGGUGUAUUUCACUGUAGGAUAAGGAUUUGGGACUGUCUACGAUGGCUAAUAUGCAUUUCAAUUGUUAUCUACUUGCACCCAAAAAAUCCGAGCUUUGUUUCGAGUCUAAGGUAUUUUCGAUUUUCUUUUUGCUAUAUCAGUUUUGUUUACCAAAAGUUGUUUCUUUACUGCUUUUGUUAUACAUUUUCAGCUGCUACCCUUUGUUAGCUUGUUGCUCAAUGUUGCUUUCCUGCAUACAUUAAUACUAAACAUUUAUUUGUAAUAGUCUUGUACGCUUACUAAUAGUUACUAUUUUUACUGGGAUUUUAGAAAAUGUUAAGAACUGAACUUGAGCUUGAACUUUCUGCCAUUUCCCCGCUAAUGCCAUUCCCAACAUUGACAGAUUGAUAUAUUUCCAUUUUGGUGAAUAUAUAUUCCAUUAUUAUUUAUUUUUUUGGAAGUGGUUGGUUUUAAAUCUCCGUCCUUGAUUAAUAAUAAAUUUUCAUUUCUAUGUUUGCCUCUAAAUGCAUGAGGUUCAAUAUCCAGACAUUAGUCAGGUGUCUAUCAUUGACAAUUUGACAUCAUGGUAGAUACCGUUACAUGUCUGGAAAAUUUAACACAGUAGAAAAUCUGAUUGAUGGGUUUCCCAUCUAUUAUUUAGAUAACUCUUGAAAGUGUCCAUCGUUGCUAAACAAUAGCCAUUAAUUAUGGUUUGAGCUACAUCUCGGUGUAUGCCAGUGUCACAAGUAUUUACUUGUGAAAUUUUGACUAGAUGAAAUUAACCAUUAAAUCAAUAUAUGAAAUUUCUUCAAUGCCACUGUGACUGCUGUUUCUAGUUAUUUAUUUUUGAUUUUAUUUGGUAUCCUAUAGCCACAUUUUUUAGCUGAUAUCUUGAUCCUUUAGUUCUUUUAGGCAAGUUAUUCGGUUGUUUAGAUAUUAUUGUCAAUUUUUUUUAAUAAAAUUCGAUGCAACCCUAGUUUUUUUGUUGCUAUUUUCAGUUUAAAUUAUCAAAAGUUAUAUCUUUACUGCUAUUGUUAUACAUUUUGAGUUGUUUCCCUUUGUGAGGUUGGUGCUUGAUGUUACUUACUGCACACAUUAAACACUAAGCAUUAACUAAUUGUAAAUGAUAUAGGUCAUAGUCUUAUACACUUGAUAAUUGUUUCUAUUUUUACUGGGACUAUCAAAGAAAUCUCAUACUGAACUGGAACUUGAACUUUCUGUCAUUUCCCUCGCUUAUCUUUCCAUUUUGUCAUCCAUUAUUUUUGGAGGUGUUUUGUUUGAAAUCUUUGUCCUUGAGGAAUAAUAUUUUUUUAUUUGUUUACCUAUAAAUGCACAAGGUUCAGUAUCCAUACAUUAGUCAGGCGUCUAUCACUGAUUAUGGUAGAUGCUGUUACAUGUCUGGAAAAUUUAAGACAGGGAAGAAAAUCUGGUUGAUGGGUUUCCCAUCUAUCAUUUAGAUAACUCUUGAAAGUGUCCAUCGUUGCUAAACAAUAUCCAUAAUUAUGGUUUGAGCUACAUCUGGACCCUAUAUCUCAGUGUAUUCCCACUGUCCACUGUCCAGUAACUUGUGAAAACAUGAAGUGUUAUGAAAUUUUUACCAGAUGAAAUAAACCUUGAAAUCAAUAUCUGAAAUGUCUUCUAUGCUCUAUUGCGACUACUGUUUCUAGUUAUUUGUUUUGUUUUUAAUUGGUAACCUAUAAUAGCCGCCUUUUUAGUUGAUAUCUUGAUCCUUCAGUUCUUUUAGACAAGGUUAUUCAGUUUUUAAAAGAUUGCCAAAGAUGCAGAUUUUAUAAAAUUAGGCAAGUAGUAAGGGAAAAUUUAAAGUAAAUGAAAAGAAGUUUUCCCAGAUUUUUGGGUGGUUUUUAAUUUGCCAUGCUUCAAACCAGACAUAGGCAGGUGUCUUCCACAGUUAUGGUUGUGGGGACCGUUGAAUGUCUUGGAAAAUAAAACAGAUGGAAAACUCCGACAAUGGGUUCCCAUCCUGCUGGUGUCCAUCGUUGCCCAGUAAUCUUAUCAAAAUGUUUAUACGAGCUACAUGUGGACGCUAUAUUAUAAACUAUAGACAUGGAGUUUUCAAGGUUUCUUUUAGUUUUUCUUUUCAUGUAGUUUAAACCAGACAUAGGCAGGUGUCUUCCACAGUAAUGGUUGUGGGGACCGUUGAAUGUCUUGGAAAAGAAAAGUCUGAGAUGGAAAACUCUAAUAAUGGGUUUAUAUCUUGCUGGUGUUCAUCGUUGCCCGGUAAUCCAGUUACAAUGAUUAUGCGAGCUACAUCUGGACACUAUAUUUUACAGAAAUACAUCUUCUAUUUUGUGUAUGUCUAUGUUUUUUUGGUGGGUUGGGGAGGGGGUUGAGAUGAAGUUUUUUGAGAAGUGGGCUUGUAACAUAUUGUUGCUAAUUUUAGCAACAUUGAUAUUUUCAAAAAUAUAACUUCCCUUACGCCUGUGUUUUGGGGUUGGGCCUUUGGGGUGUAAUAAAGCUUUUAGAGAUUUUUACUACUUUAUGGGAUCAGUUCAUUUAUAACCAUUGGAAACUUGUGGUUUUUGUUGCAUAUAGUUCUUGUGUGUUGAAUCCACACUCAUGCUUUGUGUGUUCUUGUUUACUUGUGUUUUAUCUGUCUCGUAUAAAUUUUUAUUUCAUCUUCUUUGUAUUUCCAAUGUGAGUUAUAUUUGUUAGCUAUCUGAUUUUUUAUUCAGGUUUGUAUCAAUGUCUUUAUGGUAGUUAGAGAAUAGUAUAUCCCCCUUUAUAGUAUGAAGAUACCAGUUUACAAAGACAAUGAUACACAUUCUUACAUACUCCCUCUGUCCCAAGAUAAAAGUCCUUAUUACUAUUUUGGGUUGUCCCAUGUUAAAUGUCAACUUUUUUUUAAUAACCAAACUUUUACACAUGUUUUCCUAUUAUGUCCGUAGCAUUAAAUAUCUCAUACUUUUCUUAUUCUAAUUCUCUCUCCAUAUUUAAUUACAUUAUUAUGGGCAAUUUUGUCAUUUUAUUCAUCUUCUUAAUAUGCGUGAAAAAUCCACCAAGACUUUUAUCCUGGGACGGGGGGAGUAUAAAAAGUUACUUCAUUCUGUUCCUUUUAAAUUCAGUAUUAUUCUCCCUCCCUCCCUCCCUUUCUUUUAAUGUUUUAUAGUAUAUAUAUACUGUUUCUUUGUCAGCAGGGAUGCACUUGCGUCCACCAUUUCAUCUAAGAACGCAACGUUUUGUAGCAGGUCUAGGUCAAAGUUACAGACAAAAGGAGAGACCUCUAUGAAUUUCAUCAAUAUUUAUGAUGUCUUUUUUGACUGUGAUCGCUAUUCUGUAAGUUUAGACAAUUUUAUAUGAGUUCUAUUAUAGGUAAAUUAUCUUGCUCAUCUCUAGUAGGUUAAUCAUAUAACUCUUUAAGAUACUAUACAUUGGGAAGCCAGAUUGACCCACAUGCAACACUGGGUCAUAGACCUGCUAUUAUGCAUCAGUUUUUGAUUUCCUAAAUCUUUCACAGGUUCAGAUUGUUUGCCUUAUUUUUCAUCCCUAAAUCUAGUUCAGUUUACUUUUUUUUAGUUAAAUUGGAUAUUGUUUACAAUAAAUUUGUUUAGGUUGAAGAAAAGAAAUUGGCAAUGAAAAUAUUAGUCCUUUUGAGUCCAUGGUUGGCCAAAGAAAAGCAGAAAAAUCAGAACUCUCAACUGGAAAAAACUCACAUUGACAGGACUAUUAUUGUUCGAGAUCCGGUAAAUUCUGUUGCAUGGUUGAAAAUACCUGGCAAUUCCAUUUUAUGAUUUGAUUUUGUACAUUCAGGAUUGUGCAAAAUUAGAUUUGUAUUGUACUUAAUAUAUGAGAAUGCCCCGACUUGCAGGGACCGAGGCAUAUUUGUUUUGCCGAAGACAAUUAGAAUAAAUCCCUCUAGAAGAUAUCGAGCUGUCUUCAUCGGACCAUGGUUAAACCAUGGUCCCCAAGACGAUUUCCAGUGGAAGAAGUUUUACAGGUCCUUCAGCAUAGAUCUUCAUGGUCAGGAGUCGAGGAAAAGAUAAUUGGCAAAGGGCAAGAAAGCUGAAGGCUCAUUUUCUUCUGUUUGCUCUCUGUAAAUUAUAGAAAUUGUAAUUGGUUUACAGAAAGUGAAAAUAGAAAAGCUAAGGUCCUCCAACAGUUGUAUUACCAAAAAAAAACGUUGCCCUUCCCUUUGUAAAUUGGAUGGACCCUAGGACAAGAGUAAUGAGAAAAUAAAACAUUUGUCACAUAAAAUUAAUUGCCCAAGGUAUUGUCCAACUAGUAAAUCCAAUGUUUAACAUAUUUUAAGUUUUGCUACUUUUGUAAAAUAAUAAUUUAUAAUAUAUUCAACUAUUAAU